GACGAACGCUGGCGGCGUGCUUAACACAUGCAAGUCGAACGGAAAGGCCCUGCUUUUGUGCGCUGCUCGAGUGGCGACCGGGUGAGUUAUACGUGAGUAACCUGUCCCUGACCUUGGGAUAUCUUCAUGCCACUUGGGCUCAUACCGGAUAGGAUUUCUCGCUUCAUGGUGGGGCUUGGUAAGUUUCGGCGGUUGGGGAUGGAAUCGCCGCUUAUCAGCUUGUUGGUGGGGUAGUGGCUUACCAAGGCUUUGACGGGUAGCCGGCCUGAGCGGGUGACCGGCCACAUUGGGACUGAGAUACGGCCCAGACUACUACGGGAGGCAGCAGUGGGGAAUAGUGCACAAUGGGCGGAAGCCUGAUGCAGCAACGCCGCGUGCGGGAUGACGGCCUUCGGGUUGUAAACCGCUUUCGCCUGUGACGAAGCGUGAGUGACGGUAAUGGGUAAAGAAGCACCGGCUAACUACGUG
This 468-nucleotide ribosomal RNA is filed under the name uncultured bacterium. Its description in RNAcentral is "partial 16S ribosomal RNA". It matches the Rfam family "Bacterial small subunit ribosomal RNA", at positions 28 to 507 of the family's 1533-position model. The record is from RNAcentral.